This 253-nucleotide ribosomal RNA is filed under the name uncultured bacterium. RNAcentral describes it as "partial 16S ribosomal RNA". It matches the Rfam family "Bacterial small subunit ribosomal RNA", at positions 524 to 776 of the family's 1533-position model. The record is from RNAcentral.
UACGGGGGGGGUAAGCGUUUUUCGGAAUUACUGGGCGUAAAGGGCUCGUAGGCGGCCAACUAAGUCAUACGUGAAAUCCCUCAGCUUAACUGGGGAACUGCGUGUGAUACUGGAUGGCUUGGAUUUGGGAGAGGGAUGCGGAAUUCCAGGUGUAGCGGUGAAAUGCGUAGAUAUCUGGAGGAACACCGGUGGCGAAGGCGGCAUCCUGGACCAAUAUUGACGCUGAGGAGCGAAAGCUAGGGGAGCAAACGGG